GAAACAUAAUGAUGGAGAGUUUGAUCCUGGCUCAGAACGAACGCUGGCGGCGCGUCUUAACCAUGCAAGUCGAGCGGCAGGCAGCAAUGCCGAGAGCGGCGGACUGGUGAGUAACACGUGGAUAACGUACCC
This 132-nucleotide ribosomal RNA is filed under the name Treponema sp. Marseille-Q4130. RNAcentral's name for it is "partial 16S ribosomal RNA". It matches the Rfam family "Bacterial small subunit ribosomal RNA", at positions 1 to 131 of the family's 1533-position model. The record is from RNAcentral. Lineage: Bacteria; Pseudomonadati; Spirochaetota; Spirochaetia; Treponematales; Treponemataceae.